CCUACGGGAGGCAGCAGUAAGGAAUAUUGGUCAAUGGACGAAAGUCUGAACCAGCCAUGCCGCGUGAAGGAUUAAGGCCCUCUGGGUUGUAAACUUCUUUUAUCUGGGACGAAAAAAGGGUAUUCUUACUCACUUGACGGUACCAGAGGAAUAAGCACCGGCUAACUCCGUGCCAGCAGCCGCGGUAAUACGGAGGGUGCAAGCGUUAUCCGGAUUUACUGGGUUUAAAGGGUGCGUAGGUGGGUCUGUAAGUCAGUGGUGAAAUCUCCGAGCUUAACUCGGAAACUGCCAUUGAUACUAUAGAUCUUGAAUUAUCUGGAGGUAAGCGGAAUAUGUCAUGUAGCGGUGAAAUGCUUAGAUAUGACAUAGAACACCAAUUGCGAAGGCAGCUUACUACGGAUAUAUUGACACUGAGGCACGAAAGCGUGGGGAUCAAACAGGAUUAGAUACCCUGGUAGUCCACGCCCUAAACGAUGGAUACUCGACAUCAGCGAUACACUGUUGGUGUCUGAGCGAAAGCAUUAAGUAUCCCACCUGGGAAGUACGAAUCGCAAGAUUGAAACUUCAAAUUGAAUUGACGGG
Molecule: ribosomal RNA, 582 nt
Filed under: uncultured bacterium
Lineage: Bacteria
Description: bacterial SSU rRNA
Rfam family: Bacterial small subunit ribosomal RNA
Source: RNAcentral